Platichthys flesus (European flounder) is the source of this 264-nucleotide long non-coding RNA. RefSeq lists it as uncharacterized. NCBI's taxonomy places the organism in Eukaryota, Metazoa, Chordata, Actinopteri, Pleuronectiformes, Pleuronectidae. The transcript is spliced from 3 exons. The record is from RefSeq and is a predicted model, not a curated record.
AAAAAAACACAGAGCUAUGGGUGAUGAGGAGUGGAUGUCCCGUCUGCGAAGGUUUGCUGCUGUCGGGGUCUGGCCUGCUGAUGCAGGAAACCGGCCGGCACCACGCCAGAAAAAGUGGCACGAUCUGUUUCUGAAGAUUGAGAAAUGCCCAAUGCAGCUCAGGGGUCAAAGGUCGCUGUUUGGAGGGACACAGACAUGUAACUGUGGCUUCCAUAUAAAGAAGCCAUCAGUCUCUGUGUCCUCUUCGGUGACACCACACCCAGG